This 468-nucleotide ribosomal RNA is filed under the name uncultured bacterium. Its description in RNAcentral is "partial 16S ribosomal RNA". It matches the Rfam family "Bacterial small subunit ribosomal RNA", at positions 28 to 507 of the family's 1533-position model. The record is from RNAcentral.
GACGAACGCUGGCGGCGUGCUUAACACAUGCAAGUCGAACGGAAAGGCCCUGCUUUUGUGGGGUGCUCGAGUGGCGAACGGGUGAGUAACACGUGAGUAACCUGCCCUUGACUUUGGGAUAACUUCAGGAAACUGGGGCUAAUACCGGAUAGGAGCUCCUGCUGCAUGGUGGGGGUUGGAAAGUUUCGGCGGUUGGGGAUGGACUCGCGGCUUAUCAGCUUGUUGGUGGGGUAGUGGCUUACCAAGGCUUUGACGGGUAGCCGGCCUGAGAGGGUGACCGGCGACAUUGGGACUGAGAUACGGCCCAGACUCCUACGGGAGGCAGCAGUGGGGAAUAUUGCACAAUGGGCGGAAGCCUGAUGCAGCAACGCCGCGUGCGGGAUGACGGCCUUCGGGUUGUAAACCGCUUUCGCCUGUGACGAAGCGUGAGUGACGGUAACGGGUAAAGAAGCACCGGCUAACUACGUG